AAGCAAGAAACUAACAGUAUUAUGGUUUCGGCCCAUAACUUGGUAUACAAUCAUACCCUUGCUUU
RNAcentral lists this transfer RNA (65 nucleotides) under Lanceolaria grayii. Its description in RNAcentral is "tRNA-Arg". The record is from RNAcentral. Lineage: Eukaryota; Metazoa; Mollusca; Bivalvia; Unionida; Unionidae.